RNAcentral lists this small RNA (436 nucleotides) under Histoplasma capsulatum var. duboisii H88. Its description in RNAcentral is "Histoplasma capsulatum H88 hypothetical RNA". The record is from RNAcentral. Lineage: Eukaryota; Fungi; Ascomycota; Eurotiomycetes; Onygenales; Ajellomycetaceae.
UUGCUCGACGGAUGGUACGAUGGGCGAUGGAUGGAUGGAUGAUGGAGUGGACGGAUGGUGAGAUGGACAGAGACAACAGACGGAGGACGGAGGACUGAGGACGGAUGUGGUGGUUCUGAUGGACGCUGGCGAACUAGCAGGUGUGGAGCGAGCCUGAGACUUGGAGGCUGAGGACGGAGGACAGGGGAAAUCGACCGGACCAGUGGACGCUGGUGCAGGGAACGACCAUAAAAACGCCAUCAAUGGCAAAUUGCACAGAGCAGUAGUAUAUUUAUCCAAUGCUAGCGGAGGGAUAGAGUAGAGCAAAACUGAAAAUAACAUCAAAAACGAGCUGCAAGACAGAAGGACGACGAAGAAGAUGCAGAAGACUGACAAUCGCCGGUGGAGGACAGACAGCCCGAGACAGGAGGCAGAGUACAGUACGUAACGAUGGAUG